Molecule: ribosomal RNA, 1143 nt
Filed under: Triticum aestivum (bread wheat)
Lineage: Eukaryota; Viridiplantae; Streptophyta; Magnoliopsida; Poales; Poaceae
Description: partial small subunit ribosomal RNA
Source: RNAcentral
AUGUUGGGGGGCGGGAAGAUGAAGGGCGGGGACGCGGUUAGCGGCGGCGGCAGCAGCAACAUUAGCCCCAUGGUGUCCUUCCUGCUGGGCGCCGCCGUGGCCACCGUCUGCGUCCUCUUCUUCAUGUCCGCCAGCCCCGGCCGCAGCCUCGUCGACGUCGCCGCAUGGAGCCACAACAACGGCACCGCCGCCCAGCACCACCACCACCUGCGCUCCGUCGCCGACGACGCCGACGCCGCCCGCAACCUCUCCGUCGUCGUCGCCGCUCCGGCACCCGCCCCCGUCCAGGCGUCGCCGUACGGGGACCUGGAGGAGGUGCUGGCGCGGGCGGCGACGGCGGACCGGACGGUGAUCAUGACGCAGAUCAACGCGGCGUGGACCAAGCCGGGCUCGCUGCUGGACCUCUUCUUCGAGAGCUUCCGCACCGGGGAGGGCGGCGUGGCGCGCCUGCUCGACCACCUCGUCAUCGUCACCAUGGACCCGGCGGCGUACGCGGGGUGCCAGCUCGUGCACCCGCACUGCUACUUUCUCAGGACGACCGGCGUCGACUACCGCGGCGAGAAGUUCUUCAUGAGCAAGGACUACCUCGAGAUGAUGUGGGGCCGCAACAAGUUCCAGCAGACCAUCCUCCAGCUCGGAUACAACUUCCUCUUCACGGACGUGGACGUGAUGUGGUUCCGUGACCCGUUCAAGCACAUCUCCAUGGGGGCGGACAUCGCCAUCUCCAGCGACGUCUUCAUGGGGGACCCCUACAGCCUCGGCAACUUCCCCAACGGCGGCUUCCUCUUCGUGCGCUCCUGCAACAAGACCAUCGAGUUCUACCGCCACUGGCAGGCCGGCCGCUACCGCUUCUUCGGCAAGCACGAGCAGGACGUGUUCAACCUCAUCAAGCACGACAUGACGGACCGCCUCGGCGUCGCCAUCCAGUUCCUCGACACCACCUACAUCAGCGGCUUCUGUCAGCUCAGCAGGGACCUCAACAAGAUCUGCACCCUGCACGCCAACUGCUGCGUCGGGCUCGGGGCCAAGCUGCAUGAUUUGAGGAAUGUGCUGGACGUGUGGAGGAACUACACGGCGGCGCCGGUGCCCGACAAGAGGGCCGGCAAGUUCCAGUGGAAGGUGCCCGGGAUAUGCAUCCACUGA